ACCAAAUACCCCAUUCCAUAACACAUAAAUAUAACUUUAUUAAAAAAGCGUUAUACUAUCUAAUGUAAAAAUAAAAGCGGUAAAUGAUGAAUAGUAAAAAAAAAGGCGGGUUAGGAAAUUGUUAUACUUUCCUUUUCCCUCUCUUCCCGUUCUAUUCUCUAGACCUAAACCCAAAGCUCUCAUUUUUUUCCUCUAAUCUAAAAACCCUGUCUCUAAGCCGGUCUCCUCACUCACCCUUCCCCGAUCCCUAUCCUUCUCUCUCUCUCUCUCCCCUGCUCCCUCAACUACGACGGCGAGGGGAUAGACGAGGCUUCAACCAUGGUGGAGGUCGACGGGGCUGACAGAGGCUCAGCGGGACUGCCGAAGGCUCGACGACGUGGACUCGGAGACUCGUUGGUGCAGGUAAAGAUCUCUCUCUCCCUCGUUCUGUUGGUGGGUGAUUUUUUGGGUUAUAUACUUCGUGGGUUUAUUAAUUUUUUGUUCUUCAUUGUUUUAUUUCAAUUAUUGUACUUUGUUUGUUUGAUGUUCUUCUUCUUCUUCUUCUUUUUUCACUGUUGAGGUAACGAAGUAUAUAUAUCAUGGGGCUUAAUUUUCUUCCUUAAUCUUGCUUCAUUACCAUGAUUUGUUUUAUGUUGUGUUUGCUUAAUUUUUUUUGGUGCUACAACAUUGCUAUUAUCAGUAUUCCCUUUAAAAUUUCAGCCAACCGAACUGAACAAUUGUUGUGGUUAGAAUGCAUCAAGAUAUUGAUUUUAAAUCUUAUAUCUACAGAUAUGUAUUGUGUUUGUUUGUUUUUGGACAGAAAAGUGAAUUAUUGGAUUUCUUUUUUUUUUUGCUUUGAUCUCUUAUUGUUCUUGAUAUUAUAAUAUUCCUUUUCUUGCUCUCUUUGGCUAUUCAAAGUAUGAGAAAAUGAAAACUUGGGUUUCAUUUCUUUGUUGUUUGUUUUUGGUAAGAAAUGAAAAUUCAGUGACUGAGGUGAUACUUUAAUUGCUCCCUGAUCCUUUGAAGUAAUGACUUAUUUAUUAUUUUUUAUUUUUUGAAGACAAAAGAAUUGGAAGCCGAGCUGGUGAAUGUAACAGGGGCAGCUAGGCCAUGUCGCAAAAUAAGGUCUGAGCAAGACAAGGAGCCAGAAAAGGAGGUUGUAUCUGAAGUUGUGGGUGCUGG
Long non-coding RNA from Humulus lupulus (European hop), 1161 nucleotides. RefSeq lists it as uncharacterized. The transcript is spliced from 2 exons. The record is from RefSeq and is a predicted model, not a curated record. Lineage: Eukaryota; Viridiplantae; Streptophyta; Magnoliopsida; Rosales; Cannabaceae.